RNAcentral lists this ribosomal RNA (1404 nucleotides) under Plantibacter flavus. RNAcentral's name for it is "bacterial SSU rRNA". It matches the Rfam family "Bacterial small subunit ribosomal RNA". The record is from RNAcentral. Lineage: Bacteria; Bacillati; Actinomycetota; Actinomycetes; Micrococcales; Microbacteriaceae.
UGACCCAGGAGCUUGCUCUGGGGAUUAGUGGCGAACGGGUGAGUAACACGUGAGUAACCUGCCCUUGACUCUGGGAUAAGCGUUGGAAACGACGUCUAAUACCGGAUACGAGCUUCCACCGCAUGGUGAGUUGCUGGAAAGAAUUUUGGUCAAGGAUGGACUCGCGGCCUAUCAGCUUGUUGGUGAGGUAACGGCUCACCAAGGCGACGACGGGUAGCCGGCCUGAGAGGGUGACCGGCCACACUGGGACUGAGACACGGCCCAGACUCCUACGGGAGGCAGCAGUGGGGAAUAUUGCACAAUGGGCGAAAGCCUGAUGCAGCAACGCCGCGUGAGGGACGACGGCCUUCGGGUUGUAAACCUCUUUUAGCAGGGAAGAAGCGAAAGUGACGGUACCUGCAGAAAAAGCACCGGCUAACUACGUGCCAGCAGCCGCGGUAAUACGUAGGGUGCAAGCGUUGUCCGGAAUUAUUGGGCGUAAAGAGCUCGUAGGCGGUUUGUCGCGUCUGCUGUGAAAUCCCGAGGCUCAACCUCGGGUCUGCAGUGGGUACGGGCAGACUAGAGUGCGGUAGGGGAGAUUGGAAUUCCUGGUGUAGCGGUGGAAUGCGCAGAUAUCAGGAGGAACACCGAUGGCGAAGGCAGAUCUCUGGGCCGCUACUGACGCUGAGGAGCGAAAGGGUGGGGAGCAAACAGGCUUAGAUACCCUGGUAGUCCACCCCGUAAACGUUGGGCGCUAGAUGUGGGGACCAUUCCACGGUUUCCGUGUCGUAGCUAACGCAUUAAGCGCCCCGCCUGGGGAGUACGGCCGCAAGGCUAAAACUCAAAGGAAUUGACGGGGGCCCGCACAAGCGGCGGAGCAUGCGGAUUAAUUCGAUGCAACGCGAAGAACCUUACCAAGGCUUGACAUAUACGAGAACGGGCCAGAAAUGGUCAACUCUUUGGACACUCGUAAACAGGUGGUGCAUGGUUGUCGUCAGCUCGUGUCGUGAGAUGUUGGGUUAAGUCCCGCAACGAGCGCAACCCUCGUUCUAUGUUGCCAGCACGUUAUGGUGGGAACUCAUGGGAUACUGCCGGGGUCAACUCGGAGGAAGGUGGGGACGACGUCAAAUCAUCAUGCCCCUUAUGUCUUGGGCUUCACGCAUGCUACAAUGGCCAGUACAAAGGGCUGCAAUACCGUAAGGUGGAGCGAAUCCCAAAAAGCUGGUCCCAGUUCGGAUUGAGGUCUGCAACUCGACCUCAUGAAGUCGGAGUCGCUAGUAAUCGCAGAUCAGCAACGCUGCGGUGAAUACGUUCCCGGGCCUUGUACACACCGCCCGUCAAGUCAUGAAAGUCGGUAACACCCGAAGCCAGUGGCCUAACCGCAAGGAAGGAGCUGUCUAAGGUGGGAUCGGUAAUUAGGACUAA